GACGAACGCUGGCGGCGUGCUUAACACAUGCAAGUCGAACGCUGAAGCUCAGCUUUUGUUGGGUGGAUGAGUGGCGAACGGGUGAGUAACACGUGAGUAACCUGCCCCCUUCUUUGGGAUAACGCCCGGAAACGGGUGCUAAUACUGGAUAUUCACUGGUCUUCGCAUGGGGGUUGGUGGAAAGGGUUUUUCUGGUGGGGGAUGGGCUCGCGGCCUAUCAGCUUGUUGGUGGGGUGAUGGCCUACCAAGGCUUUGACGGGUAGCCGGCCUGAGAGGGUGACCGGUCACAUUGGGACUGAGAUACGGCCCAGACUCCUACGGGAGGCAGCAGUGGGGAAUAUUGCACAAUGGGCGCAAGCCUGAUGCAGCGACGCCGCGUGAGGGAUGGAGGCCUUCGGGUUGUGAACCUCUUUCGCUCAUGGUCAAGCCGCAACAAUGGUUGUGAUGAGGGUAGUGGGUAAAGAAGCGCCGGCUAACUACGUG
RNAcentral lists this ribosomal RNA (483 nucleotides) under uncultured bacterium. Its description in RNAcentral is "partial 16S ribosomal RNA". It matches the Rfam family "Bacterial small subunit ribosomal RNA", at positions 28 to 507 of the family's 1533-position model. The record is from RNAcentral.